GAAGUCGUAAACAAGGUAGCCCGUAGGGGGAACCUGCGGCUGGAUCACCUCCUUUUCUAAGGAUAUCGGCAGAAAGCGCUGACAGGCCCGCAUUUUCGGAUGCCCACCCUGUCGGAAGAGCUUCUUCCAUUCCAAAGAACAUUAGCCGCCGUCCUCAUGUCCCUUCAUCACUAGGUUAGUCCACAAGACGAGAUAGCAUCCGCUGUCUUGGCUGUGGGCAAGCUCGGCCAGCGCGCGAAGCGCGCCUCUUGGGCGCAGUUCUGCUGCGUCUGACGGGCGCAGCGGGUGUGGGCCUGUAGCUCAGUUGGUUAGAGCGCACCCCUGAUAAGGGUGAGGUCGGUGGUUCGAAUCCACCUAGGCCCACCACACACAAGUGCGUUUGGGGCCUUAGCUCAGCUGGGAGAGCGGUUGCUUUGCAAGCAUCAGGUCAUCGGUUCGAUCCCGAUAGGCUCCACCAUUUCGCAGGAGACGAGACGAGGCAGCAAAGCUGCCGCGCACGUAUCCAAGAACGGCCAGCGCUGCAAAGCGCGCCCACAAGGCGCAGCUUCGCUGCGACUGACGGGCUCGCGAAAUACGCACCAUCAGCCAUAACCUAGAGAUGAAGAGAAACGGUUCGCCGUGCGAGAGCACGGUGAUUGACGGGCACGCCCGUCGUAUUUGACAUUGUGAAUGGGUUUUUUAAAAUCGAUGCCGUGAGGUGCUCGAUUUUGGAGACGAGGAUUGCUUCGGCGGUUCGUGAGGCACUUCUGUGCAGCGCGAAUUGAACGAGCAGUUCGAGGCUCCAGAUAUCGACAUCAUCAUACUAAAUAAUCUGGCUGAGAUUAUAAUCAUCCGCACCUGACAAAGGCCAACGCGCACUGCUCUGCCGAGUUGGUGACCUCCUCUGGAGGCACCCAGUGAUGUCGUUGGUGGUGUGGACUCUCAAGCGUGAGGUAAGGGCAAUUCGUGGAUGCCUUGGCACAUACAGGCGAUGAAGGACGUGGCACGCUGCGAUAAGCGUCGGUGAGC
This 1008-nucleotide unclassified non-coding RNA is filed under the name Sphingomonas sp. RNAcentral describes it as "partial contains 16S ribosomal RNA, 16S-23S ribosomal RNA intergenic spacer, and 23S ribosomal RNA". The stretch from base 290 to 363 matches the Rfam family "tRNA". Lineage: Bacteria; Pseudomonadati; Pseudomonadota; Alphaproteobacteria; Sphingomonadales; Sphingomonadaceae. The record is from RNAcentral.